GGGAUGAGGGGACUCGGCUGUGUCCUCGGCCGCGGUGGUGGCAUCAGCAUCGCCCUCAGAAGUGAGGGGACCUGGCCACGUCCUCGGUGGCCGUGGUGGUGGCCGUGGCCUCGCUCUUGAAGGUGAGGGGUGCUGGCCAUGUCGUGAUGACGUCCGUCGCGUCCCCCUCGAAGGCGAAGGGACCUGGCCGUGUCCUCGGUGGCUACGGCGUCACCUGCGAAGAUGAGGGGCUGCGGCCACGUCCUCGGGGUCCACGACGCCACCCUUGAAAGCGAGGGACUGAACCGUGUCCUCGACGUCCAUGGCGGUGACCACGAGGCGCCAUGUCCAUGUCCUCGCUCUCCGUGGUGUCACCCGCGCAGACGAGCCGCUGUGUCCAUGUCCUCCCUGUCCGUGGUGUCACCCGCGCAGACGAGACGCUGUGUCCAUGUCCUUGCUCUCCAUGGUGUCACCCUCGAAGACGAGGCGCCAUGGCCAUGUCCUCGCUGUCUGUGCUGUCACCCGCGCAGACGAGACACUGUGUCCAUGUCCUCACUGUCCGUGGUGUCACCCACGAAGCUGCCAUGUCCACAUCCGUGCCCUCGCUCAUGUCCGUGGUGUCACCCGCGCAGACGAGACGCUGUGUCCAUGUCCUUGCUCUCCAUGGUGUCACCCUCGAAGACGAGGCGCCAUGGCCAUGUCCUCGCUGUCUGUGCUGUCACCCGCGCAGACGAGACACUGUGUCCAUGUCCUCACUGUCCGUGGUGUCACCCACGAAGCUGCCAUGUCCACAUCCGUGCCCUCGCUGUCCAUGGUGUCACCCUCGAAGACGAGGCACCGUGGCCAUGUCCUCGGUGUCCGUGCUGUCACCUGCGAAGAUGAGGGCACCUGGCUGUGCCCUUGGUGUCCAUGGUGUCACUCGGGAAGGUGAGAGGCCCCAGCCAUGUCCUCGGUGCCCACGGUGUCACCCUCGAAGACGAGGCGCCGUGGCUGUGCCCUCGGUGUCCAUGUUGUCACCUAUGAGGAUGAGGGCACCUGGCCGUGCCCUCAGUGUCCACGUUGUCACCUGUGAAGAUGAGGGCACUUGACUGUGCCCUCGGUGUCCGUGUUGUCACCUGUGAAGACGAGGGCACCUGGCUGUGUCCUCGGGGUCCGUGGUGUCACCUGCGAAGACGAGGGCACCUGGCCGCGCCCUUGGCGUCCACAACGUCACCCUCGAACAUGAGGGCACCCGGCCACGUCCUCGGUUUCCCCCUCGUAGACGAGGCGCCGCGGCGUCCCCCGCGAAGGCCGCGCGCGUCCCGGCGCGUCAUACCUCGGACUCGAGGCUGGAGAAGUGGGCGGAGCCGCGGCGGGCGCCCAGCUCG
RNAcentral lists this long non-coding RNA (1346 nucleotides) under Struthio camelus australis. RNAcentral describes it as "lncRNA (ENSSCUG00000007742.1)". The record is from RNAcentral. Lineage: Eukaryota; Metazoa; Chordata; Aves; Struthioniformes; Struthionidae.